Molecule: RNA transcript, 1218 nt
Organism: Cataglyphis hispanica
Lineage: Eukaryota; Metazoa; Arthropoda; Insecta; Hymenoptera; Formicidae
Gene name: deoxynucleoside kinase-like
Exons: 5
Source: RefSeq, a predicted model, not a curated record
UGGCGAUGUAUACUUUCGGCGGGAAACACAUUCCUCGUCCAGCAAUCCAGCGGUCUAUAUCAGUCAGCAGUGGUCGAUUUGUAUGGCUACGAUACGUGUUUUUCGAACAGUUUUAUGGUGUUACGUGAAUAUACAUGAUAAUGUAAAGGGUAUAUAAGAAGAGACAACUAUUUUUCUAACCUCAAGAAAUUCUUGCACGUUGUUUGUAAAUCGAUAAAAGGCAAACAGAUAUAGUUUAUCAUCAAGAUAAUUACCAUAGUUUCAGGACAACGCUGCUUCAUUUAUAUCAAGAAAAUGGCCUCCCCACGAAAAUUCUACAAUAAUCCAUUUACAAUCUGUAUAGAAGGAAAUAUUGGAAGUGGUAAAACAACAUUUUUGAAUCACUUCCAGAAUUUUAACAAUGCUACAAUUUUACAAGAACCAGUGGAUUUAUGGCGAAAUGUGGCUGGAGUGAAUUUACUGGAUCUCUUGUACAAAGACCCAAUAAAUUACGCCUUUCUAUUUCAAUCGUAUGCUCAAUUAACUAGGCUAAAAUUACAUACUGUGAGCACACCGUCACCCUAUAAAGUUAUGGAAAGAUCCAUAUUUAGUGCAAGAUGCUUUUUAGAGAAUAUGAAACGUACAAAUAUGAUACGGGACGUAGAGGUGGUAGUUUUGGAAAAGUGGUACAAUUGGUGUAUGGCAAAUACUGAUAUAAGAGCAGAUUUAAUAGUAUAUAUAAGAACUACGCCAGAAGUUGUAUAUCAAAGAAUGCAGGCACGUGGACGCAAAGAAGAAGACUCUGUAUCAUUAGAAUAUCUAAGACAAAUCCAUGAAAUUCACGAUGACUGGCUCUAUAGGCAAACUUUAUUCUCUUUACCAGCACCGGUUAUGAUUAUAGAUGGUGACAAAAGUCUCGAGGAAAUGGUGCCACAAUUUGAGAAAUGCAAAGAUCGGAUACUUAAACAGAAAACUAGCACAUCAAAUACCACAAAUUCAAUAAUUCUAGAUACUAAAGCAUAAUUACUCGCAAUAUAAUGCCUUGAACUUGCCACGACUUGAAUAUUGUACUUUUUUAAUAGAUAAUUAUAGGUUUAAUAUUAUAAUUUUAGUUUUUAUGACUUACCUUCAGAAAUUGAAAUGAUACUGUGUUUUGGAAAGGUGGGCUGAUUGUCGUUGAUAUCGAUUACUCGCACGCUCAAUGCAGCUGUACCGGUUAAUUGUGGAUUUCCUUGAUCG